This 253-nucleotide ribosomal RNA is filed under the name uncultured bacterium. RNAcentral describes it as "partial 16S ribosomal RNA". It matches the Rfam family "Bacterial small subunit ribosomal RNA", at positions 524 to 776 of the family's 1533-position model. The record is from RNAcentral.
UACGUAGGGGGCUAGCGUUGUCCGGAAUCAUUGGGCGUAAAGCGCGCGUAGGCGGCCCGGUAAGUCCGCUGUGAAAGUCCAGGGCUCAACCCUGGAAAGCCGGUGGAUACUGCCGGGCUAGAGUCCGGAAGAGGCGAGUGGAAUUCCUGGUGUAGCGGUGAAAUGCGUAGAUAUCAGGAGGAACACCAAUAGCGAAGGCAGCUCGCUGGGACGGUACUGACGCUGAGGCGCGAAAGCGUGGGGAGCGAACAGG